AUUGAACGCUGGCGGCAGGCUUAACACAUGCAAGUCGAACGAUGAAACUCUAGCUUGCUAGAGAAGAUUAGUGGCGGACGGGUGAGUAACAUUUAGGAAUCUGCCUAGUAGUGGGGGAUAGCUCGGGGAAACUCGAAUUAAUACCGAAUACGACCUACGGGUGAAAGGGGGCGCAAGCUCUUGCUAUUAGAUGAGCCUAAAUCAGAUUAGCUAGUUGGUGGGGUAAAGGCCCACCAAGGCGACGAUCUGUAACUGGUCUGAGAGGAUGAUCAGUCACACCGGAACUGAGACACGGUCCGGACUCCUACGGGAGGCAGCAGUGGGGAAUAUUGGACAAUGGGGGCAACCCUGAUCCAGCCAUGCCGCGUGUGUGAAGAAGGCCUUUUGGUUGUAAAGCACUUUAAGCAGGGAGGAGAGGCUAAUGGUUAAUACCCAUUAGAUUAGACGUUACCUGCAGAAUAAGCACCGGCUAACUCUGUGCCAGCAGCCGCGGUAAGAC
This 499-nucleotide ribosomal RNA is filed under the name uncultured bacterium. RNAcentral describes it as "bacterial SSU rRNA". It matches the Rfam family "Bacterial small subunit ribosomal RNA", at positions 30 to 526 of the family's 1533-position model. The record is from RNAcentral.